This 505-nucleotide ribosomal RNA is filed under the name uncultured bacterium. RNAcentral describes it as "partial 16S ribosomal RNA". It matches the Rfam family "Bacterial small subunit ribosomal RNA", at positions 28 to 507 of the family's 1533-position model. The record is from RNAcentral.
GACGAACGCUGGCGGCGUGCCUAAUACAUGCAAGUCGAACGCACAGUUUAUACCGUAGCUUGCUACACCAUAGACUGUGAGUUGCGAACGGGUGAGUAACGCGUAGGUAACCUGCCUGGUAGCGGGGGAUAACUAUUGGAAACGAUAGCUAAUACCGCAUCAUAUUAAUUAUUGCAUGAUAAUUAAUUGAAAGGUGCAAUUGCACCACUACCAGAUGGACCUGCGUUGUAUUAGCUAGUAGGGGAGGUAACGGCGCACCUAGGCGACGAAACAUAGCCGACCUGGGAGGGUGAUCGGCCCAACCGGGACCUGGACCCGGCCCAGACCCCUACGGGGGGCAGCAGGAGGGAAUUUUCGGACAUGGACGGAAGUCUGACCGCGCAACGCCGCGGGGGUGAAGGAGGUUCUCGGAUCGUAAAGCUCCGUUGUAAGGGAAGAACGGGUGUGAGAGUGGAAAGUUCACAUUGUGACGGUAUCUAACCAGAAAGGGACGGCUAACUACGUG